Long non-coding RNA from Hordeum vulgare subsp. vulgare (domesticated barley), 3977 nucleotides. RefSeq lists it as uncharacterized. The record is from RefSeq and is a predicted model, not a curated record. The transcript is spliced from 2 exons. Lineage: Eukaryota; Viridiplantae; Streptophyta; Magnoliopsida; Poales; Poaceae.
GCUCUCAAAGGUGACUGGUACGGGCAUGUGCUCCGUGUCAAGCCCCUACUGGCUUUCGGCGUUUUAAUAGUAUACCCUUAUCUCUUGCAGCAGCCCGGCCGGCCACACCCACGCUCCCGAUCCCCCAAUUUCGGGACCAAGACCGGCGCUGCGCUGCGCUGAGCCGGUCGCGCCAGCCAGCCAGCCAGCCUAGCUGUAGUUAGUGGGAGUGGGAGUGGAGUGGGGCGCCGCGGCCAGCGAUGCCGGCCUCGCUGCAGCCAGAGCGAGCACGAGGCCGAGGCCGGCGCGAGGGGAGGAACCCUAGAGUGUCCCUGCUGGUGCUCUGGCCCACCUCCACCUCGAUCGACCCCCUUGGCCUAUAAAUCUGCACGGCCGGUACACAGCACUGACCUCCUCUCCUCCUCGAUCGAUCGAUCUUUCGGUCUUUCCAAGCCUAAACUAACGCCCGUUUCUUUCGCAUGGGCCCGUCGUCUUGGCCGUGGUGGUUGCGCCGUGCCGGAGGGGUGAUGGUAUGCGGUGGGGGCGUUGGGAGUGAAGCGCGGCGAGCGGGGUGGCGCCGGCCGGCCGGGCGCGCGCGCGGUGACAGAAGAGAGUGAGCACACGGCCGGGCGGGACGGCACCCGCCGGAUGGUGCCGUCGCGGCCGCGUGCUCACUGCUCUAUCUGUCACCAGCUGCUUCUUCGGGUUUCCGUCGACCCCCGGCCGGCCCGCCUCCGCCGUUCGUGCCCAGCCCUCUCGCUCUCGCUGCAUGCCCAGCGCGCGGACCACACGGCUUCCAGCUGUACCAUUUCUUUCACAUCUUACAGGCGAAUGAAUGAGCGAUAGUACUGUUUAAUUUCAUCCCAUUAUCGAUCCAUCUAGUUUGAUAUCUUGAAAAUGUCAUCCAUAUGCGUGUGAUUUUGAGUCAUUUUCUGUUUGAUUCGAGUAGGUAGGUAGCGCAUGUACUAGCUGAUGGUUUUCCCUCCCAUGCCUCGUACGACGCCGUUCGUUCAUCUUUCCCGAGGAGCCUGCCCUAUUCCACCUUUUCUGCUCCCCUUUCUUGGGAAGGAGAUGCAUAUUCAUUGCGCCAUUGAUGGAUCUCGGAGCACGAGCAUCGAUCACGACGCAGGAAUCUACUCCUCCUCCAAGGACAGGUACAGUUAACAAACAGUUCAACGAAGCACCAGCGCCCAGAGUUCACAUGCAAACUGCUUCAGUCAGACAGGAGCUCUAGCAUGGGUUUAAUUUGAUCUGACGGUGGAUGCAUGGAUAGCACACCACGGCCACACAGAUCUGCUGCUGCUGCCAUUUUCCACUACCAUCAGGUCAGUACUUAUCUUGUGCUGUCUGCUGUCCUUUCUGUUCUUCAGAAUUACUAUUGCACAUCGCUAGCUGGGUGGUAUUCAAAGUAUGAGUAAUGAUGCAACGAUACGUUGUCCCCUAGCUGUGGCUCCACAAAUGUAGGAUACACUGUUGUGUUACUGUUCCAUUGAUGGCGCUCGUACAUGCACGCUAUCGUCACAAUCCCUCGCCCCACCUUGCAUGUUUGACCCGAGCUUGGGCCGGCAUGGCUCCUGUGCACUGGGAGAAAUUUCAACAGACUGUUCCUGGUGGAUCAUAUAAUCUUGCAGAGGGAGAGUUGCAGCUGCAAAAGAAUGUUUUUUUUUGUUGAGCAAAAGUUUUCGGUUUAUAAGAUUUAAUAAGAUUAAAUAGCUAGGCGAGUUGGCUGCUUCUAGCAAUUGAUCUGCUUGCAAAUUAAGUUAUUAUGUUAUUGUUUCAUCUGUUGGUAAACGUUAUAGGUGUGGAGAAGUUUCCUGUGCAAAUCUAUGUAUAGCACACACAAGCUCACCACGUACCAGCUGGUUUUUCAUACUCCUAUAUAGCUCAUUUCUAGGUUGAAAUGCCGAAGCCCCCAUUUCGAAAUAUAAGACUCAUUAGACAAGGUUUUCACGAAUAAUUAUCUCAUUAAUAUGCAAUUAUUGGUGUGAUACUCAUUUCGAAAAUUAUGAUCAUAAGUAAAUGCUAAUUUUGAAAACGGAUCCACAGUGACAUUAGAUUCAUGUCAAAUAAACCAAGUAUAUAUUAACAUAGCAUUUGUGUGUGUGUGUGCGCGUGUGUGGGCGCGCGCACGCGUGUGUGUCAGAGCCUCCUCAUAAUGAAACAACAAUAUGAUUUAUAUUUUGAAAUUGAUAAUGUAAUCAGCCAGCUGUUCAUCGUUUUCCUUUCGAAAUGAAGAGAUAGAUUUGGUAUGAUGAGUAUCUAAGUUUGAGCUUACUAAGUUGCAAUAUUUCAUGCUUUAUGUUUAUGUGGCUAGAAAGUGGCGUGGGUCUUUAGACUGCUGCCCUACAUCAUGCCUAGUUAACAAAUGAUGAAAGUUUUCAAAAAACAUGCUCCGCGCCAGUAUUAUAGUUAUCAUUUUGCAGUAAAUAUGUAACUGCACUUGGUAUAUAUAUCCAUCUGCCCCUGGAAAUUUUUGGAAGUAGCCAGAUCACACCUUACAUAUGCAAAAUCUGAGAUCCUCUGCAGGUUCUUGUCCUCCAUUAGUCUUUUGUUAUCAUCAAAUUAUCAUUGGCCCAUGAAUCUUGCAUGCAUGCAUGGGAGGGGUACUGGUCUAUAUAUAACUUUUUCCAUGGCAUUCGUCUCGGACCCUGGUUAUUUGUUACUUCAUGUCAAUACGAAUCACUUUGCUGCAUCUCUAGUGAAGUAAUCCACCACUGUCAACUGUAUUGUAUUAAGUUAUAGUGCCCUAUCUUAAUUAUAAAAUUCAACCUUGCAAAAACACUAGCGUCAUAAGAUAAAUUUCCACAGUGAUUUUGAUCCCCCACCGUAUUGCUCAUCAUCAAUUAGUAUAUGAUAAUCCGAGGAGAUAUCUUUUACACCAAAGCGUGUUAUAAACUCUGGUUAGAUGAAUACAUGAGCUUAGCUGGGGCAAUUGAGGGUUAAAUAUUGAAUAAGUAAACUAGGGGAAUUACAUAUAUUCGACUUAAAAGGUGACUGGAAGCUCAAACCAAUUACAACACUACAUCCUCGUGCAUUGCCACUAGGUUGCAUUGGUGUCUCUGCAUGGUUAACAAUUACUACCAGUCUGCAGUUGUUUUACCCAUGUAUGGAGUCUAUUUAUGCUAAAUCCAUUUUGCAGUAUGGCUUCAAUAAAUAUGCUUCCACUUAACUACUAUGUGUAUCCACGUUCCAAAUUUGAUAUAAAUGAGAGCAUUUGAAAAGCCACCACUCUUCAUUUUUAACAUUAUUGUUGUGCGUGCAGUUUUAACAAAUUACUGUUCUAAGCUAUACAUAUAAUAUCCAGCUUUAGAGCCUCUUAUUGUCGCAUUGUGUUAACCUGUGUUUUUAUUUGAAUUUUCACCGGGGAGGAGGGGAAAGCCCCUCAAGCACCUGAAUAUAUUCAAUCGAAUUUGCCUAGAAGCCUCAUGGCUCCAUACAAGAUAGGUUUAAGUGAACAAGAGUACAUGGAGAAAAACAAGAGAAGAGACAUAAUCGAAAAUACAAACGCACACACAAACACACACACACACACAUAUAGCCGAACCUCCGGAACACCUGCCGAGGAAAGGGCACAGAAGAAGGCCUUUCGAUGAUCCGACCGCCAUCACAAAACUCAUUAGCACAACCAGCAAGGAGGAGGACCUCAACAUACAUCUUCAUCUGACCAAGCAAGAAGAAGAGCUUGAACGUUGGCCAUCUAGUCGCCACCCAACAACACCCCGCGAGGUAGAGGUGUCAUAUGGGAACGAGGUGAUCCAUUGAGUAGGAUAACGCCCCCGCUAACUAGUAAAAGAAUUAAUACUGCUAGCUUUUAUACAUUUUCUCAGAAGAUUUGAGUGGCACAUGAUGUAUAUUGUAGGCUAGGUGCAUGCACGAAUAAGCUAUGUGUUGGAUACACCCAUACAUGUGAUCACAGAAAGGAAUCAAGGGCAUUGCAUUGUUAGCAAUCUACAAUUUGAAGUAAAUCCACAGGAGACAAUAAACUGUAUGUUGAGUAA